CUCAACCGAGGAAUGGCCUGUGAAACCACUGUACUUGAGUGCUGGAGAGGGAAGUGGAAUUCCCAGUGUAGCGGUGAAAUGCGUAGAUAUUGGGAGGAACACCUGUAGCGAAGGCGGCUUCCUGGACAGACACUGACGCUGAGGCGCGAAAGCCAGGGGAGCAAACGGGAUUAGAUACCCCGGUAGUCCUGGCUGUAAACGAUGAACACUUGGUGUGGGGGAUGUUAAGGUUCUCCGUGCCGGAGAAAACUCGUUAAGUGUUCCGCCUGGGGAUUACGGCCGCAAGGCUGAAACUCAAAGGAAUUGACGGGGGCCCGCACAAGCGGUGGAGCAUGUGGUUUAAUUCNACGCAACGCGAAGAACCUUACCGGGGUUUGANCUGUGCGUGACACCUGCAGAGAUGUAGGGUUCCUUCGGGACGC
RNAcentral lists this ribosomal RNA (422 nucleotides) under uncultured bacterium. RNAcentral's name for it is "bacterial SSU rRNA". It matches the Rfam family "Bacterial small subunit ribosomal RNA", at positions 608 to 1029 of the family's 1533-position model. The record is from RNAcentral.